AUGACUAUAUUGGAUAAAAACGAGAAAUAAAUAAAACCGAAUUAAUUUAAACAGAGAAAUGUAAGCUACACUAGGAAAUCGAUUUAUGAAUGAGUGAAUGAAGGUGUUGCUGAAAUUUUGAGUAAAGACUCACUGUUUUGAUACAACAAAACUACUUGGUUCAGUAUAUAAAUUAGUGAAUUGCAAACCUUUUUUUUGAAUAAAGGAUAUGAAAAAUAUUGUUUUAGUUCACUUCUCAACUGCAUCCUUCUGGAAUUAACAAUUCGUAAAUAAUGAAACCGUUUUA
Schizosaccharomyces pombe (fission yeast) is the source of this 286-nucleotide non-coding RNA. The record is from the annotation of a GenBank genome assembly. NCBI's taxonomy places the organism in Eukaryota, Fungi, Ascomycota, Schizosaccharomycetes, Schizosaccharomycetales, Schizosaccharomycetaceae.